RNAcentral lists this ribosomal RNA (253 nucleotides) under uncultured bacterium. RNAcentral describes it as "partial 16S ribosomal RNA". It matches the Rfam family "Bacterial small subunit ribosomal RNA", at positions 524 to 776 of the family's 1533-position model. The record is from RNAcentral.
UACGUAGGUGGCAAGCGUUGUCCGGAUUUAUUGGGUUUAAAGGGUGCGUAGGCGGUCUAUUAAGUCAGCGGUGAAAUACUCCAGCUUAACUGGAGAGGUGCCAUUGAUACUGAUGGACUUGAGUCAAGUCGAGGUAGGCGGAAUUGACGGUGUAGCGGUGAAAUGCGUAGAUAUCGGGAGGAACACCAGUGGCGAAGGCGAGUCUCUGGGAUGAUGCUGACGCUGAGGCGCGAAAGCCAGGGGAGCAAACGGG